GCUUUUUGUUUAAACGGUAAAUUUUCGUGACUCGAUGGUCUUCUGAUGUUUUGCUGUAACUUUACUGAAUUAUAUUUAUUGUACAGUUUUUAUACCCAAACACAUUAUGGUGUACACCUGUAGUGUGAAUUUGUGUACAAAUCGGUCAAAACCAGGCCCUCGAAAACUACACUUUUUCUCGUUUCCACUGAAAAAUGCAGAAUGAACGUAACAAUGGAUUAAUGCAGUUGGCCACAAAGGGUUUAUCCCGACCAAAUAUAGCAAACAAUGGUUAUUCUUUUUCUGGAAACCGUCGAUGAAGGCAACCUGCCGCGAUGAUGUAUUUUUAGUAAAGGUGGCUGUUAUUAACUGACCAUAGAUCGUCGGUAACAAAUGAACAUGCAAGCCAACUAAUUUUUCUAUCCGCGAAUAAAGAUUAUAUAGCAAAACCAGCAUUUUAAAUAUGUAUAAUAUUAAUUUUAGAUUUAAGUCAAGACUCAAAACUGAAUUUUAAGGUAAACAGUUAU
Sipha flava (yellow sugarcane aphid) is the source of this 506-nucleotide long non-coding RNA. RefSeq lists it as uncharacterized. The record is from RefSeq and is a predicted model, not a curated record. The transcript is spliced from 3 exons. NCBI's taxonomy places the organism in Eukaryota, Metazoa, Arthropoda, Insecta, Hemiptera, Aphididae.